ACUCAAAUGAAUAGACGGGGACCCGCACAAGCAGUGGAGUAUGUGGUUUAAUUCGAAGCAACGCGAAGAACCUUACCAGGUCUUGACAUCCCUCUGAAUAUCCUAGAGAUAGGGUAGGCCUUCGGGACAGAGGAGACAGGUGGUGCAUGGUUGUCGUCAGCUCGUGUCGUGAGAUGUUGGGUUAAGUCCCGCAACGAGCGCAACCCUUGAACUUAGUUGCCAGCAUUGAGUUGGGCACUCUAAGUUGACUGCCGGUGACAAACCGGAGGAAGGUGGGGAUGACGUCAAAUCAUCAUGCCCCUUAUGACCUGGGCUACACACGUACUACAAUGGCCGGCACAAAGGGAAGCGAAGCCGCGAGGUGGAGCCAAUCCCAUAAAAGCGGUCUCAGUUCGGAUUGCAGGCUGCAACUCGCCUGCAUGAAGUCGGAAUUGCUAGUAAUCGCGGAUCAGCAUGCCGCGGUGAAUACGUUCCCGGGUCUUGUACACACCGCCCGU
Molecule: ribosomal RNA, 497 nt
Filed under: uncultured bacterium
Lineage: Bacteria
Description: partial 16S ribosomal RNA
Rfam family: Bacterial small subunit ribosomal RNA
Source: RNAcentral